Molecule: long non-coding RNA, 4144 nt
Organism: Numida meleagris (helmeted guineafowl)
Lineage: Eukaryota; Metazoa; Chordata; Aves; Galliformes; Numididae
Exons: 6
Source: RefSeq, a predicted model, not a curated record
CAGGAAGAUCUCCAUGCUUGGUUUGAAGGAGCUUGGCUUCUGCUGAAAUCAGAUCCCUUCCUGGAGUGAAGUAAACAACAUCCUUGUUAAAGAGGAGGAGUGACUGAAAUUCAACUGACGUUGUGUUGUAAAUAACAUACAACCAGGAGGGCUCUUGAAUCCUGCUGAGAGGCUCUGGAGUGCUUAUGUUACAUUUGCUGAAGAAUCUAUCAUCCUGAAAGAUAACCUGAUCCUGGAACGACCUGCAAACUGUCCACUAAGGCCAAGUGAUGGAUGUCUUUAGCUAUGAACUGCAUGCCUUGUUUCACCAAAGUCCUGUAGGCAACCAUGACAGGUCCACAGAUGUAAUUCAGUGGAGAGGAAGAUUUAGUGACUUUUUACUGUUAUAAAACAGGACAUGCACAGGGCUUCAAUUUUGUGUUGUGUUAAUGGAGGUUGAAUGCCUGCUGCUGCCUGCAGUGUGGAAGAGAAGGAGCUCCGGGUGUGGACUACUUUCCUGAAGCUUAAUCCUAAGGAUGGGAUAGGGAAGGAAAGCUUGGUUUUCCAACCUGGAAGUUUGAAGUGACAUUCUAAUAGUUUUUUUCCUACUUCCGGAACUCAUCUCUGCAUCUGAUUGAGGGCUCAAGGGAUGGAGGAUCAAUAUCACAAGGCUAAAGCAUUUGCUUCUGUGGUUCUAUCAUGUGGAAUGAUUUUGCUUUCUUUUCUGCAGAUGUAUUUGUUCCAGACAUAUUCUGUUAAAAGGGCUUCAUGGUUCUUGGGAGCACCUCCUAAUAGAAGCAUAUUCCACUAUAUGAUAGCAUAAGCCAUCCAUUUAGCUAUUAUGUUAGCAGUAUCCUCAAGUACUAAAUUCCCUUGACACAAUCUUGAAGCCUGAAUGCAAAGGAACUCUUCCUUUUUCAGAGUAGAUUUUAAUUUUGUUAAUUAAUUUUCAAAGCAAUUACAUACUCAUGCUCCAGGAGUAAGCAGUUUGGAUGAAACAAAAAGCAAACAGGUUUUAUAAAUAGCUAAAAGGCAUAAAUAUGUUAAAUUCCUAGUUAUUAAAGCUAACCUUAUAAGCAUAUACACUUUUAAAAUUCUAAGCAGAUUUAUUAAAUUGUUGUUUCUUUGGAAAGUAUAUAAAGCAAAUUAAGUGACUGUUUCUUCAAACCAGAGGUUGCUUUGUUAUAUAGAUUAGUGGACUCAAGUCCUUCUUCCUGCCAUAUUCACUACAGUAAAUCAGGUGUAAUUAGGCUACAGUUAAUAGAUUUGUGUAACAUCAUGCUGUGUUUUGUACACUCUAACCUUUUUUUGAAUAGGUCAGUAGUAGAUCAAUCCUGAUGAACUUGGAACAUUUUUCUUGUGGAUCUGCUGUUAGCUGGGGUGUUAUCCUGGCUACUCAGUGUGAUGAAGUCAUCUCACUGGUGGAUCAACUAUCCUGUUUACUUUUCUCUCUAAAUUGUAUUUGGGGUCAGUAUAUACGUGAGCACUUGCAGUGGAAAGCUGCAGUCGUUUCAUUUUUUUAAGCCUUAAUUGCAGCUGCUGCUUUUAAUUUGCUGUAUGACUGACGUGAUAUGAAGUUUACUAGUAGUAUUUGCAUAUAAUUUUAAUGAUUGUGUGCUACAGUCUUUACUGCUCCAUAGGCCAGAUUUAAUCUACAGUAUAUUGUUCACAGUUUUGUGGCCUAUGGAGACAUUCAUGUGAGUAAAGAAAGGGACAUGGUCAGAUUGAGGUCUGCACUACAAAUUCCUAAAAGGAGAUGCUUAUCUGUAUAAAUUCUGAUUUCAUUGGAAUGAAAGAUAAAGUAAGCAGGGUUCAAUAAGACACGAAGCCAUUUUUUUCUGGGCUUAACAUUUAUAAAAAUAUUUCUGAAAAAUGUAUCAUUAUUACGGCAUAAUUUGAACAAAAUAUUUUGACUUCACAGAUACAGCAGAAUAAGCUUUAGCCAGCCUAUGUGCUGAAGGCAUUUUCUUGUGCUUCAGCAAGUUAAAUUCAUUUUUUUCACUUAGGAAAACUAGCUGACAAUUAUGUUUAGUGCAUUCCAGCUGCAUAAAAAAUCAACUUGUUGCAGAGAGAUUAGGCUGUAUUGAAAGCAGUUCCAGCUAUAGAGCUGUACAAUUCCAUUACCCACCAUAGUGAUCAUUAGGGAGCAUAUCCGGUUGGAAUUAAAAUCAACUUUGAGAAACGGUGCCCAGUUUUAGUCUAUGGGUAGAAUGUUAAUAUGGAUUGGUACAGACUUUUCUAUACUCGUUUUGCUUGUGAAGGAGCAUUUGGUUCCAGUCUGGAAGCCAUAUGGCUUCAAACAUACACUUGCAUACAUCUGUUGGUCUAGAAUAGUUUGAGAUGGCUGGGACUCUUAAAGGUCAUCUGGUAUAGACUUAACCUCAGUCAGUCCCUGCCCCCAUUCUAUCAGGAUCUGUUUUUUGCAGGUGAGUAGGUAGCGUCUCCUGAAUAUUAAUCUUUUUUUGAGAUGCUGCGUGUUGGGGAUGCAAGGGAUCCCUAGUAUCAUUCAGGCACUAUGGAUGUGGGAAAUCCCAGCCAUCGGUUACAACCUUCUGCCAGGCUGUUUCCCCUCUUGACAAAGGGCAUCAUUUAAUGCAUAUGAUUGCAUGAGUAAAAUUUUGUUGUCUUUUAUAAACCUUGUGGCAAACGUUAAAUGCAUCAUUCUAGGAGGUGAACGCCUUUAGGAAUAGAAACUGAAGCUGUUCUCCUAGCUCUUCAUAAAGGCAUAGUAAGGUUUCUUGCUGGUAGAAGCCUAAUAAGGUUUCUUCGUGUUUUCUUGCUGGGGUCCUUGUUCUAGCAAAAAUGGUGUAAAAAGCAUGGUAGCUAUAUCUUGUCUGAAGAGAAAUGUAAACAGAAAAUUGUACGAGAGUUCAAGGAAGGAAUUCAGAGCCCUUUGUGUAUUUACUUCUUAAAAGCCCCAAAAACUAAUGUGCUGGUAAAUGGGUCUGAUAAAACAGUGGACUAUACACUUCUAAUUUUUCAUUUUUUAUUAGUAGUUUUAGAACUUCUUUGUUACAAUGGUACAUCUUUUGAUUGCUAAAUAUUUAAAUGAAAUACCUGACUUUCUAAAUGCCAACAUAUGAUAAAUAGCUAAGAUUUUAAUAAUCAGAGCACAGAAAAGAUGGAUUUAGAAACACUUUCUAUGCACUCAUGUAUGAAUUCCAGUGUAGUCACAGGGACAGAGUCUGUGUCUAUCUGUGGUAGCAGGUAAAAUAGUCACAUAAGUGAAGCUGAGGAAAAUGAAUCUGAAUGCUUAGCAAUUUUUAAUUGUUUCUUACAACACAACAUCAUUAGAUUUUUUUCUUCAGAGAAAUGAAUAGAAAUUGAAUGCACUUUGUUAAAUAUCCUGUUAAACAUAACCAAAUGCUUAAAACUGGAGAAAUUCCUGACAGUCAGAAGUGCUGCACUGAGAUACAAGGGUGAAAAUAAGAGCACGCGAAUAGGUUAUUAUUCUCUAAGACAAAAGUUUAAUGAAUUAAAACUUGAUUUUUCACAUGGAGGCAAUUAAAAUGGAAUAUGCUGCAUGCUUUCAGCCAAUUUGGAGCUAUAUUUUUUCUGUUAAAAACAAGGAGCAUCCAACUUGCUCCCAAUUUGUUCUCUAACUUAGAUCUGUAAAGGUUGCAAUUUAUUUAAUGUUCUGUGAAGUAUUCUUCCAGUGUGUCUGCUUGUUUAUGUAUAUAAAAGCUUGAUAUAAGGAAUGUAGAAUUGACUAUCACUUUUAUGCAACUAGGAAAUGAGGUACACCUAUUUCCCUACUGAGACCAACAGUAUCUUCUGGAAUAAAACAAAUUAAGAGAAACUAGGGGAAAAACCUCAAGAAGAAAACCAGUCCUCUGCAGUCCGUCAGCAGUUUGGGGGCACCUUAUGAGCAGGUCCCCACUCUGCCCCUGGGGACUGCCUGUGGGGCAAUCAUGUCUUUCUCUCUUGGAGCACGCUUGUCUGGCAGGGUGGCUGCAGAGCACAGGUGGUGUUCAUAGCCGUGGGGAAAGCCAAAAAGUUUUAGUUGUCCUGUAGCUGAAAUUAACUUCAGUUCCCAGUGUGAUAAGUGAAUGAUUUUGAUGCUUGAUAUUAUGAUGAUGCAAGCUGUGGUAAUACUUAAUAUUGUGAUGGACAGACGUAGAUGAUUAUAGAAAAUGUUUCUGUAAUUAAAUCACCGAAUUCCAUU